CAGUAGCCACGGGAAUACGUAGGGUGCAAGCGUUGUCCGGAAUUAUUGGGCGUAAAGAGCUCGUAGGCGGUUUGUCGCGUCUGCUGUGAAAUCCCGAGGCUCAACCUCGGGCUUGCAGUGGGUACGGGCAGACUAGAGUGCGGUAGGGGAGAUUGGAAUUCCUGGUGUAGCGGUGGAAUGCGCAGAUAUCAGGAGGAACACCGAUGGCGAAGGCAGAUCUCUGGGCCGUAACUGACGCUGAGGAGCGAAAGCGUGGGGAGCGAACAGGAUUAGAUACCCGUGUAGUCCCUGUCUCUUAUAC
RNAcentral lists this ribosomal RNA (301 nucleotides) under uncultured bacterium. RNAcentral describes it as "partial 16S ribosomal RNA". It matches the Rfam family "Bacterial small subunit ribosomal RNA", at positions 509 to 807 of the family's 1533-position model. The record is from RNAcentral.